RNAcentral lists this ribosomal RNA (405 nucleotides) under uncultured bacterium. RNAcentral's name for it is "bacterial SSU rRNA". It matches the Rfam family "Bacterial small subunit ribosomal RNA", at positions 355 to 775 of the family's 1533-position model. The record is from RNAcentral.
UAAGGGAUAUUGCGACAAUGGGCGAGAGCCUGACGCAGCAACGCCGCGUGCGGGAGGAAGGCCUUCGGGUUGUAAACCGCUUUUGAGGGGGAAGAGGAAGGACGGUACCCUUCGAAUAAGUCUCGGCUAACUACGUGCCAGCAGCCGCGGUAAAACGUAGGAGGCGAGCGUUAUCCGGAUUUACUGGGUGUAAAGCGCGUGCAGGCGGUGGGACAAGUUGACUGUGAAAGCGCCCGGCUCAACCGGGCAAGGACAGUUAAGACUGUUUUGCUGGAGGCAGGUAGAGGGGUGUGGAAUUCCGGGUGUAGUGGUGAAAUGCGUAGAGAUCCGGAGGAACACCAGUGGCGAAGGCGACACACUGGGCCUGGCCUGACGCUCAGACGCGAAAGCAUGGGGAGCGAACGG